Long non-coding RNA from Odocoileus virginianus texanus, 910 nucleotides. RefSeq lists it as uncharacterized. The record is from RefSeq and is a predicted model, not a curated record. Lineage: Eukaryota; Metazoa; Chordata; Mammalia; Artiodactyla; Cervidae.
GGGGGCGCCUGAUUGAGGGGAGCUCCGGGGGCUGCGGAGCCUGGCGGGCAGGAAGGACCCCUCCGGGGCUAGCCACAAGGUUCGGGGGCGCGGUAUGCAUCGCAGAUAGCAGGAGCUUUACGAGCCGGAAGCGCCUUGGAGGGAGGGGACACCCACCAGAAAAGAUACAAAUACCUGCCAUGGACAAGGCCAGAGGUCUGAUAUCUACCCUGGAGUAGAAGUGAUGGAGCAACUUCUAAACCCACCAACCACCCCACCCCGCCGUGGUCAUUUGAAUCACCUGGCCUGGUUUUUCCCGCUCCACCAGAAUCGCAGAAGCCCUGUUUCUGGGAAUGCUGCCUGGAAAGACGUAUUUUCAACAAGUUGCAGCACAUUCUGAUGAUUGCAGAGUCUGAGCGCACCUGCUCCACAGAGAAACUGAGCAGCGAUGCUGAGAAGAUACUGGGCGUCGGGAGGCUGCCCUUCACUGUCCUGGCCGGGAGAGUGGAGCCAGGUUCCCAUUUCUCCAGCCAGAGGUGUCCCCAGUCCAGGAUUUGGCCUCCAGAAUCAUCCAUCCCUUUCUGCAGCAUUCUGCACUUUGCAUUUUAGCCCCAAAGUCUUCAUCUUCUUAUAAAAUUGGCAUUUUUGUAAUUUAGAGGAUUGGCCAUUUGUCAUCGAGUGUCUGUAAUAUAUUGAGUUGGCCAGUUUGUAAGAUGGUAUGGAAAAACCUGAAUGAACUUUUUGGCCAACCUAAUAAAAAAUAAUAGGUACAAACUAAGAGUCCAAACAAUGGGUUAAGUACAUUUUAAUGCAAAUAUACACGUGGCCUUCUAUUGCUGGUAUGAUUAUGAAGACAAACCUCCAUUUACACGGAAGUGUAUUUAGGAUAUGUUAAUAAAUGAAGGAGAGUCAGAAAUACCACUAAACUGUG